This is a long non-coding RNA of Etheostoma cragini (Arkansas darter), 272 nucleotides long. RefSeq lists it as uncharacterized. The transcript has 3 exons. Lineage: Eukaryota; Metazoa; Chordata; Actinopteri; Perciformes; Percidae. The record is from RefSeq and is a predicted model, not a curated record.
UGGUUCCUGUAAAAGAAACUCUUGUUCACUUUCACAUUAAGAUGGGAUAUUUUUUAGCUCUGAAGACGUUUAGCCAGUAAUUCAACAAAUCAAAUGCUCACUGCUCACACUGCAGGCAUGAAGUUUGUGAUCCUGUUUGCUCUUUUGAGCGGGGCUUUUGCCGCACAGUUCAUGAAGGAAGAGCAGGCAAAGCGAUUAUUCAGGCUGAAGAGACAGUCAGGAUACUGGGAUCCGCACCACUCUCACAACCAAUGGGGUUACAUGGUUCAGGA